RNAcentral lists this ribosomal RNA (253 nucleotides) under uncultured bacterium. RNAcentral describes it as "partial 16S ribosomal RNA". It matches the Rfam family "Bacterial small subunit ribosomal RNA", at positions 524 to 776 of the family's 1533-position model. The record is from RNAcentral.
UACGGGGGGGGCAAGCGUUGUUCGGAAUUACUGGGCGUAAAGGGCUCGUAGGCGGCCAACUAAGUCGGAUGUGAAAUCCCCAGGCUUAACCUGGGAACUGCAUCCGAUACUGGUUGGCUUGAAUCCGGGAGAGGGAUGCGGAAUUCCUGGUGUAGCGGCGAAAUGCGCAGAUAUCAGGAGGAACACCGGUGGCGAAGGCGGGUCUCUGGGCCGUAACUGACGCUGAGGAGCGAAAGCAUGGGGAGCGAACAGG